This 603-nucleotide long non-coding RNA is filed under the name Homo sapiens (human). Its description in RNAcentral is "HSALNT0351527". Lineage: Eukaryota; Metazoa; Chordata; Mammalia; Primates; Hominidae. The record is from RNAcentral.
AUAUCAUUUUUGACAAUGCUGUACAACUGUGGCCCUUCCCAUCUGUCUGCUCACCAAAGACAUGGAGAUCUGGGUUUCCCUUAGCACAGAGCAAAUCAGCCAAAGAGCCUGAGGCCUGGGUAGCCUGGGGAAGAGAAGCGGUCUUAAGGGGAAGAAUUUCGAUCAAGUAAUCCUGGAGUAUUGAGCCUGGGUUCCAUGGGAGUGCUACCAAGUCCAACAACAAGAAAGAAAAAAGAAUGUGGAAGGAAGUAAGGAUAAUCAAAGAUAAAGAAUUUAAAUUUUAACGAGAUAAAAUUCCUGUGUAACAAUAAAGCAAGAACAAAAACUCUAAAAGAACAUAGAUGGAUUAUUCCUACAUUGCAUAGGAAAAUUAUUUAUACAGACUUUCUGGCCCAUGGACCUCAGUAAGGCCCAGCAGUGCUGGAUGAAACAUCUACUAGGUACAAGACCAUACUUUUGGCUACCUUCUCCUGCCACAGAUACUCUAUCCCAUUUGCUGUCAUCCAACGACUAACACCGUUUUCACUUCAGAACGUCAAGCCUUUUCUGUUCUCUUCAUGGCCUCCUCCCAUUAAAGCUGAAAGUAUCUGCUAUCAGUCAUUU